Molecule: unclassified non-coding RNA, 150 nt
Filed under: soil metagenome
Description: partial internal transcribed spacer 1
Source: RNAcentral
AAGAGUUGCAAAACUCCAACCCCUGUGAACCUUACCUUUACUGUUGCUUCGGCGGUUGGCACCGGCGCCCAGAUGGGCCUGGAGGUCGCCGCCGGAGGUUUGAAACCCUGAAUUUUAGUGUAUCUCUGAGAAAGAAAACAAAAUAAAUUA